This 253-nucleotide ribosomal RNA is filed under the name uncultured bacterium. RNAcentral's name for it is "partial 16S ribosomal RNA". It matches the Rfam family "Bacterial small subunit ribosomal RNA", at positions 524 to 776 of the family's 1533-position model. The record is from RNAcentral.
UACGUAGGGAGCAAGCGUUGUUCGGAUUUACUGGGCGUAAAGGGCGCGUAGGCGGCAUGACAAGUCACUUGUGAAAUCUCUGGGCUUAACCCAGAACGGCCAAGUGAUACUGUCGCGCUAGAGUGCGGAAGGGGCAAUCGGAAUUCUCGGUGUAGCGGUGAAAUGCGUAGAUAUCGAGAGGAACACCUGAGGUGAAGACGGGUUGCUGGGCCGACACUGACGCUGAGGAGCGAAAGCGUGGGGAGCGAACAGG